RNAcentral lists this ribosomal RNA (801 nucleotides) under Triticum aestivum (bread wheat). Its description in RNAcentral is "partial small subunit ribosomal RNA". The record is from RNAcentral. Lineage: Eukaryota; Viridiplantae; Streptophyta; Magnoliopsida; Poales; Poaceae.
AUGGAGGCGCCAAUCGUGCGGCCGGUGUGGGCGAGGGAGCUGCUCGACGCGCGCGACCCACCGUGCACCAACUACCAGCACCCCGAGUACGAGCUCGCGGCCGACGCGGCCAACGACAUACUCCGUCCGGGCGCCGAGCUCGUGCACCGGGCGUUCCUCUUCGGCCCCGAGGAGCUGUCCUCGCUGAGGGACCAGCUACCGCCGCGGAUGAGGUCGCGGUGCUCCCGGUUCCUGCUCCUGUCGGCGUUCGCGUGGCGCUGCCGGACCGCGGCGCUCGCCUACGAGCCCGGCGACGAGGUGCGGUUCAUGUUCGUGGUGAACGCCCGCGGGAAGCGCGGCCGCCCGCUCCCCGAGGGGUUCUACGGGAACGCGCUCACCUUCGGCGUGGCGCGGACGACGGCCGGCGAGCUCUGCUCGGGAUCUCUGGGCCACGCCGUGGAGCUGAUCGUGGCCGCAAAGGCGCGGGUCGCGCCCGACGACUACGCGCAGUCGGUGGCCGACGCGCUGGUGCUGCGCGGGCGGCCGCGGUUCACGACGGCGCGGACGUAUCUCGUGUCGGAUCUCACCAAGUCGAACCUGCACGAGGUGGACGUCGGGUGGGGCCUUCCGGUGUACGGCGGCCGGCCACGACGACGUUGGCCACGUUCCACAUUCCUGCGGCGGGCGGGGGGAUCACCGUGCCGAUGUGCCUGCCGCCGCGCGCCAUGGAAAGGUUCGCGGCCAAUGUGCGCGCGGGGCUCUUGGAGGCGUUCUAGUGGCGUGGAGUCGACCGUGCUUUCGAAGAUGUACGUAGGAAUGUAA